RNAcentral lists this ribosomal RNA (1426 nucleotides) under uncultured organism. Its description in RNAcentral is "SSU rRNA". It matches the Rfam family "Bacterial small subunit ribosomal RNA". The record is from RNAcentral.
CACAUGCAGGUCGAGGGGCAGCAUUUUACUUUGCUUGCAAACUAAAGAUGGCGACCGGCGCACGGGUGAGUAACACGUAUCCAACCUGCCGAUAACUCGGGGAUAGCCUUUCGAAAGAAAGAUUAAUAUCCGAUAGUAUAUUAAAACCGCAUGGUUUUACUAUUAAAGAAUUUCGGUUAUCGAUGGGGAUGCGUUCCAUUAGUUUGUUGGCGGGGUGACGGCCCACCAAGACUACGAUGGAUAGGGGUUCUGAGAGGAAGGUCCCCCACAUUGGAACUGAGACACGGUCCAAACUCCUACGGGAGGCAGCAGUGAGGAAUAUUGGUCAAUGGACGAGAGUCUGAACCAGCCAAGUAGCGUGAAGGAUGACUGCCCUAUGGGUUGUAAACUUCUUUUAUAUGGGAAUAAAGUAUUCCACGUGUGGGAUUUUGUAUGUACCAUAUGAAUAAGGAUCGGCUAACUCCGUGCCAGCAGCCGCGGUAAUACGGAGGAUCCGAGCGUUAUCCGGAUUUAUUGGGUUUAAAGGGAGCGUAGGUGGAUUGUUAAGUCAGUUGUGAAAGUUUGCGGCUCAACCGUAAAAUUGCAGUUGAAACUGGCAGUCUUGAGUACAGUAGAGGUGGGCGGAAUUCGUGGUGUAGCGGUGAAAUGCUUAGAUAUCACGAAGAACUCCGAUUGCGAAGGCAGCUCACUAGACUGCAACUGACACUGAUGCUCGAAAGUGUGGGUAUCAAACAGGAUUAGAUACCCUGGUAGUCCACACAGUAAACGAUGAAUACUCGCUGUUUGCGAUAUACAGUAAGCGGCCAAGCGAAAGCAUUAAGUAUUCCAACUGGGGAGUACGCCGGCAACGGUGAAACUCAAAGGAAUUGACGGGGGCCCGCACAAGCGGAGGAACAUGUGGUUUAAUUCGAUGAUACGCGAGGAACCUUACCCGGGCUUAAAUUGCAUUUGAAUAAUCUGGAAACAGGUUAGCCGCAAGGCAAAUGUGAAGGUGCUGCAUGGUUGUCGUCAGCUCGUGCCGUGAGGUGUCGGCUUAAGUGCCAUAACGAGCGCAACCCUUAUCUUUAGUUACUAACAGGUCAUGCUGAGGACUCUAGAGAGACUGCCGUCGUAAGAUGUGAGGAAGGUGGGGAUGACGUCAAAUCAGCACGGCCCUUACGUCCGGGGCUACACACGUGUUACAAUGGGGGGUACAGAAGGCAGCUACACGGCGACGUGAUGCUAAUCCCGAAAGCCUCUCUCAGUUCGGAUUGGAGUCUGCAACCCGACUCCAUGAAGCUGGAUUCGCUAGUAAUCGCGCAUCAGCCACGGCGCGGUGAAUACGUUCCCGGGCCUUGUACACACCGCCCGUCAAGCCAUGAAAGCCGGGGGUACCUGAAGUGCGUAACGGCAAGGAGCGCCCUAGGGUAAAACUGGUGAUUGGGCC